GACGAACGCUGGCGGCGUGCUUAACACAUGCAAGUCGAGCGGUAAGGCCCUUUCGGGGGUACGACGAGCGGCGAACGGGUGAGUAACACGUGGGUGACCUGCCCUCAGCUCUGGGAUAAGCCCGGGAAACUGGGUCUAAUACUGGAUAUGACUCCAUGACGCAUGUUGUGGGGGUGGGAAAAGCCUUGUGCGGCUGAGGAUGGGCCCGCGGCCUAUCAGCUUGUUGGGGGGGUGA
This 235-nucleotide ribosomal RNA is filed under the name uncultured bacterium. Its description in RNAcentral is "partial 16S ribosomal RNA". It matches the Rfam family "Bacterial small subunit ribosomal RNA", at positions 28 to 260 of the family's 1533-position model. The record is from RNAcentral.